RNAcentral lists this ribosomal RNA (753 nucleotides) under uncultured Glomus. RNAcentral's name for it is "SSU rRNA". It matches the Rfam family "Eukaryotic small subunit ribosomal RNA", at positions 338 to 1092 of the family's 1831-position model. The record is from RNAcentral. Lineage: Eukaryota; Fungi; Glomeromycota; Glomeromycetes; Glomerales; Glomeraceae.
GGCCUACCAUGGUGGUAACGGGUAACGGGGUGUUAGGGCACGACACCGGAGAGGGAGCCUGAGAAACGGCUACCACAUCCAAGGAUGGCAGCAGGCGCGCAAAUUACCCAAUCCCGACACGGGGAGGUAGUGACAAUAAAUAACAAUACGGGGUUCUUUAGGAUCUCGUAAUUGGAAUGAGUACAAUUUAAAUCUCUUAACGAGGAACAAUUGGAGGGCAAGUCUGGUGCCAGCAGCCGCGGUAAUUCCAGCUCCAAUAGCGUAUAUUAAAGUUGUUGCAGUUAAAAAGCUCGUAGUUGAACUUCGGGGUUAGUAGGUUGGUCAUGCCUCUGGUAUGUACUGGUCUCACUGAUUCCUCCUUCCUGAUGAACCUUAAUGCCAUUUAUUUGGUGUUUUGGGGAAUUUGGACUGUUACUUUGAAAAAAUUAGAGUGUUUAAAGCAAGCUAACGCUUGAGUACAUUAGCAUGGAAUAAUGAAAUAGGACGUUCGAUCCUAUUUUGUUGGUUUCUAGGAUUGACGUAAUGAUUAAUAGGGAUAGUUGGGGGCAUUAGUAUUCAAUUGUCAGAGGUGAAAUUCUUGGAUUUAUUGAAGACUAACUACUGCGAAAGCAUUUGCCAAGGAUGUUUUCAUUAAUCAAGAACGAAAGUUUGGGGAUCGAAGACGAUCAGAUACCGUCGUAGUCUUAACCAUAAACUAUGCCGACUAGGGAUCGGAUGAUGUUAAUUUUUUAAUGACUCAUUCGGCGCCUUACG